GUGGGGAAUAUUCCGCAAUGGACGAAAGUCUGACGGAGCAACGCCGCGUGAGUGAUGAAGGUUUUCGGACUGUAAAGCUCUGUUGUUUAGGACGAAAGUGCCUGUUGCGAACAGUUACAGGUAUUGACGGUACUAAACGAGGAAGCCACGGCUAACUACGUGCCAGCAGCCGCGGUAAUACGUAGGUGGCAAGCGUUGUCCGGAAUUAUUGGGCGUAAAGAGCAUGUAGGCGGAGAUUUAAGUCUGUUGUGAAAAUGCGGGGCUCAACCCCGUAUUGCGAUGGAAACUGAAUUUCUUGAGUGCAGGAGAGGAAAGGGGAAUUCCCAGUGUAGCGGUGAAAUGCGUAGAUAUUGGGAGGAACACCAGUGGCGAAGGCGGUUUACUGGACGACAACUGACGCUGAUACACGAAAGCGUGGGGAGCAAACAGGAUUAGAAACCCGUGUAGUCC
RNAcentral lists this ribosomal RNA (450 nucleotides) under uncultured bacterium. Its description in RNAcentral is "partial 16S ribosomal RNA". It matches the Rfam family "Bacterial small subunit ribosomal RNA", at positions 354 to 796 of the family's 1533-position model. The record is from RNAcentral.